Molecule: transfer RNA, 60 nt
Filed under: Haemaphysalis inermis
Lineage: Eukaryota; Metazoa; Arthropoda; Arachnida; Ixodida; Ixodidae
Description: tRNA-Arg
Source: RNAcentral
UAAAAUAAAGCGAUUUAUUGCAUUCAGUUUCGACCUGAACUUAGAAGGUUUCUAUUUUUU